This 240-nucleotide ribosomal RNA is filed under the name uncultured Lactobacillus sp. Its description in RNAcentral is "partial 16S ribosomal RNA". It matches the Rfam family "Bacterial small subunit ribosomal RNA", at positions 122 to 355 of the family's 1533-position model. Lineage: Bacteria; Bacillati; Bacillota; Bacilli; Lactobacillales; Lactobacillaceae. The record is from RNAcentral.
UAACCUGCCCAAGAGAUCGGGAUAACACCUGGAAACAGAUGCUAAUACCGGAUAACAACAGAUGAUGCCUAUCAACUGUUUAAAAGAUGGUUCUGCUAUCACUCUUGGAUGGACCUGCGGUGCAUUAGCUAGUUGGUAGGGUAACGGCCUACCAAGGCGAUGAUGCAUAGCCGAGUUGAGAGACUGAUCGGCCACAUUGGGACUGAGACACGGCCCAAACUCCUACGGGAGUCAGCAGCU